This 1531-nucleotide long non-coding RNA is filed under the name Brachypodium distachyon (stiff brome). Its description in RNAcentral is "long non-coding RNA (BDIS_LNC004608)". Lineage: Eukaryota; Viridiplantae; Streptophyta; Magnoliopsida; Poales; Poaceae. The record is from RNAcentral.
UGAACAACUGGUCGUCGUCCGUGGAGGGGUAGUAGACUCUGGUAAACGGCGGUACGUUGCCAAACGGUGUUGGGCUUCCCAUCUAUAGGAACCAAAGGAAGUAGAUAAGGAAGUAUCAGUGACAUGAUCGAAUGGUCGGAUGUAUGUAUAAAUAAAAUAAAAGUGGUAGAGUGGGAAUAAAGUGAUAAAUAUUAAUAUCAAAGGUGGAAAUGCAAAUAUAAAAUUGGAUGCAUACUGAUAUGUGAAUAACUUGGCAACAUGAUUAUAGUGGUGGAUGGUAUAAUAAGAAUAAAUAUGCAUCUGUGGUGUAAUAUAAUAAACAUGCAUAUAUGGUAUAAAGCAUGGUAUUUGGUGUUUAUGUGGAAUAAAUGUAACAUCCCAAAAAUUCAAAACUUUUCAUAUCUAUUGCAUCCAUAAGCAUCAUGCCACAAUUGCAUGUUUGAAUUCAAAUUUGAAUCUCAAAAGGCUUUAAUAGAUCUUAUUUCAAUUUAAACCCUAGGGUUUACACCCAUUUAAGCUUAGGAUCUUCAAACCAAUAAGGUUUAUUUAUAAAAAGGAUUUAUUGCAUAAAUAAGCUAUCCCAUAAUUUUUGGAUAAUUAUUUGGAGGUUAAAAACUAUUUUAUUUAAAUAAUUAUAUAGCCCUAAAGGCAUUUAUAGGGCAAAUGUAUUUUUAUGUAUUUUAUUUUGAGGGGAAAUUACUCUCAAAAGUUGAAUCAUGGUAAAACAUGAUUUUACAAAUUUUCUAGAAUUUAUUUAGACCAAUUCGGAGUUCAAAAUCAAAAGAUAUAAAAGAAAUAAGAAAAACAGAAAAAGAAAAGGCUAAAAGAAAAAAAAAGGGAGAAACGGACAGGCCCGGCCACUAUGGGCCGAACCGGCCCAGUUCCGCGCGCCCGAGCUGAACCGACCAGCCCGGUCCACGCACGCGCCCGCACCCAGCUGCUGACAGGCGGGGCCCGCUUGUCAGGGUCGUCUUCCUCGUAAGGAAGGCGCCCGCGUUCGCCGCGCCGCCUGCCGUUUUCGCCGCCGCGCGCUUACCGCCGCAAUCUCCUCGUCCCGUCCUUCUUUUGCAGUCCCGAGCGCAAAAAAGUAUCAUACUUCAAUCCUAUCAUUUUCUGAACAAAUAAUUUUAAAUUUUAUUGGACACGGGGUAGAAACACCCAUGCUCCUAUUAACCUAGGCACAUUGAGUAGAAACAUCAAUGCUCCUACCCAGUUCAAUCCAUUCGUUUUAUUAUGAAAUUGCAAUGAGUGAGACCUUCCUUACAGCCCCGACAUCUCUUCUCUCAUAAUCGUCCGUAACCGGGGACACGGCUAAGUACUUAGUUUGACACUCUCGAGAGGUGGUACAUUUUACCCACAAGAAACCGACGUGUUAAUCCCUUGCUGUCCGCAGGGUAGAGUAGCAACGGCAUCGAUUACAGGAAUUUUCAGAACAUAUUCCCCCAAACCACCUGAGGGACGCGUUCCAACCUACACUGCUACAUACCGAUGUCACCUCGGAUCCAGGUUCAUAUUUCUUACAUCCAUCCUG